Molecule: transfer RNA, 77 nt
Filed under: Acidobacteriota bacterium
Lineage: Bacteria; Pseudomonadati; Acidobacteriota
Also listed under: 1 other name
Description: tRNA-Ala
Rfam family: tRNA
About the family: Transfer RNA (tRNA) molecules are approximately 80 nucleotides in length. Their secondary structure includes four short double-helical elements and three loops (D, anti-codon, and T loops).
Source: RNAcentral
GGGGACGUAGCUCAGCUCGGAAGAGCGCCUGAAUCGCACUCAGGAGGUCGUGGGUUCGAAUCCCAUCGUCUCCACCA